RNAcentral lists this transfer RNA (88 nucleotides) under Alphaproteobacteria bacterium. RNAcentral describes it as "tRNA-Leu". It matches the Rfam family "tRNA". From Rfam's summary of the family: Transfer RNA (tRNA) molecules are approximately 80 nucleotides in length. Their secondary structure includes four short double-helical elements and three loops (D, anti-codon, and T loops). RNAcentral also lists the same sequence under 4 other names. Lineage: Bacteria; Pseudomonadati; Pseudomonadota; Alphaproteobacteria. The record is from RNAcentral.
GGCCGCGUGGUGGAACGGUAGACACAGCAGACUUAAAAUCUGCUUCUGGGAAACCGGAGUGCCGGUUCGAGUCCGGCCGCGGCCACCA